This 664-nucleotide long non-coding RNA is filed under the name Pongo abelii (Sumatran orangutan). RNAcentral's name for it is "lincRNA". Lineage: Eukaryota; Metazoa; Chordata; Mammalia; Primates; Hominidae. The record is from RNAcentral.
GCAGGAAUUGGAGUGCUGUAACACAAUCACAGCUCACUGCAGCCUCAAACCCCUGGGUUCCGGCCAUCCUCCCGCCUCAGCCUCCCCAGUAGCUGGGACUACAGCCCAGUAAAGGCGCCAUUCCCCAUUUUACAGCUGGGGAAACUGAGUUACAGAGCUUAUCCGCACUGAGUCAACAGGAGCAAAUGCUAGAUCAGGUCUAGCUGGAGUAGAGUGAUGCAGUCAUAGCCCACUGCAGCCUCAAAUUCCUGGGCUCGAGCAAUCCACCCACAUCAGCUUCCCAAGUAGUUGGGACUACAGGCCCACACUACUAUAUCCAGGGUCUGUCUCUCUGCCACCCAGGCCAGAGUGCAGUUGAUGCAGGGCAGGGGAGCCCCGAAGUGGAGCAUAGUGUGUCCGGAACUGGUGGGUUCUUGGUCUCACUGACUUCAAGAAUGAAGCUGCAGACCCUCGCGGUGAGCGUCACAGUUCUUGAAGGCGGCAUGUCCGGAGUUUCUUCCUUCUGAUGCUCGGAUGUGUUCAGAGUUUCUUUCUCCCGGUGGGUUCAUAGUCUCGCUGGCUUCAGGAGUGAAGCUGCAGACCUUCAAGGUGGAGUGCAAUAGUGUGAUCUUAGCUCCCUGCAACCUCUGCCUUCUGGAUUAAAGAAAUUCUGCUGCCUCAGCCU